Molecule: ribosomal RNA, 364 nt
Filed under: uncultured bacterium
Lineage: Bacteria
Description: bacterial SSU rRNA
Rfam family: Bacterial small subunit ribosomal RNA
Source: RNAcentral
AACGAACGCUGGCGGCAUGCCUAACACAUGCAAGUCGAACGAAGCCUUCGGGCUUAGUGGCGCACGGGUGCGUAACGCGUGGGAAUCUGCCCUUAGGUACGGAAUAACUCAGGGAAACUUGUGCUAAUACCGUAUGAUGUCGAGAGACCAAAGAUUUAUCGCCUAGGGAUGAGCCCGCGUAGGAUUAGCUAGUUGGUGGGGUAAAGGCCUACCAAGGCGACGAUCCUUAGCUGGUCUGAGAGGAUGAUCAGCCACACUGGGACUGAGACACGGCCCAGACUCCUACGGGAGGCAGCAGUGGGGAAUAUUGGACAAUGGGCGAAAGCCUGAUCCAGCAAUGCCGCGUGAGUGAAGAAGGCCUCGG